RNAcentral lists this ribosomal RNA (825 nucleotides) under Sphaerulina westendorpii. Its description in RNAcentral is "eukaryotic LSU rRNA". It matches the Rfam family "Eukaryotic large subunit ribosomal RNA", at positions 71 to 925 of the family's 3401-position model. Lineage: Eukaryota; Fungi; Ascomycota; Dothideomycetes; Mycosphaerellales; Mycosphaerellaceae. The record is from RNAcentral.
GGGAUUGCCCUAGUAACGGCGAGUGAAGCGGCAACAGCUCAAAUUUGAAAUCUGGCGCAAGCCCGAGUUGUAAUUUGUAGAGGAUGCUUCUGGGUAGCGACCGGUCUAAGUUCCUUGGAACAGGACGUCAUAGAGGGUGAGAAUCCCGUAUGUGACCGGCCCGCACCCUUUACGUAGCUCCUUCGACGAGUCGAGUUGUUUGGGAAUGCAGCUCUAAAUGGGAGGUAAAUUUCUUCUAAAGCUAAAUACCGGCCAGAGACCGAUAGCGCACAAGUAGAGUGAUCGAAAGAUGAAAAGUACUUUGGAAAGAGAGUUAAAAAGCACGUGAAAUUGUUGAAAGGGAAGCGCCUGCAAUCAGACUUCGCGGCAGUGUUCCGCCGGUCUUCUGACCGGUUUAUUCUCUGUCGCGAGGCCAUCAUCGUCUCGGCCCGCUGGAUAAGACCUUAGGAAUGUAGCUCACCUUCGGGGGAGUGUUAUAGCUUAUGGUGAUGCAGCGAGGCUGGGGCGAGGUCCGCGCUUCGGCAAGGAUGAUGGCGUAAUGGUUGUCGGCGGCCCGUCUUGAAACACGGACCAAGGAGUCUAACAUCUAUGCGAGUGUUCGGGUGUCAAACCCCUACGCGUAAUGAAAGUGAACGGAGGUGGGAACCGCAAGGUGCACCAUCGACCGAUCCUGAUGUCCUCGGAUGGAUUUGAGUAAGAGCAUAGCUGUUGGGACCCGAAAGAUGGUGAACUAUGCCUGAAUAGGGUGAAGCCAGAGGAAACUCUGGUGGAGGCUCGCAGCGGUUCUGACGUGCAAAUCGAUCGUCAAAUUUGGGUAUAGGGGCG